GCAAUAGAGGCGCGGUGAAGAUCAGUAGCCCCAUGGAGGUCCGGCAGGAGCUGUGAGAUGGGAGGAAAGGAUUUACCGCCGAAACGAAGGAAACCUGCCGGUUUUAUUCGUUGGGAUGCAGUCUAAGAGGCUGCAUACUCUCACUGUAAAGUGGAGGCGCUAU
This 163-nucleotide non-coding RNA is filed under the name human gut metagenome. Its description in RNAcentral is "Lysine riboswitch". It matches the Rfam family "Lysine riboswitch aptamer". From Rfam's summary of the family: Riboswitches are metabolite binding domains within certain messenger RNAs that serve as precision sensors for their corresponding targets. The record is from RNAcentral.